RNAcentral lists this long non-coding RNA (284 nucleotides) under Leguminivora glycinivorella. Its description in RNAcentral is "uncharacterized LOC125239649". Lineage: Eukaryota; Metazoa; Arthropoda; Insecta; Lepidoptera; Tortricidae. The record is from RNAcentral.
UAUGCCUCAAUUGAUAAAGUGAACUAAUUGCCUACUUCAAAAGCAGUUUUGCAUGAAAGUCAACAUCUAAUUGGAAUUUACAAUGCCCGAUAUUUCUACACAUCUGCCACAAAUUUUAUGGAAAACAAUAUUUAUGGAAACUGAACAUACCUUGGUUAAACGUAUAUGAAAUGGGUUAUCAUCCUCGAAGAACAUCAACCAGCUGUCGGCAAUGUGCAGGUGGACUGAGGAAUUUUCCGGUGUGUCUUUUUAUGGACUGUACUCCGUCUCAGCACAAUUCCCAA